GACGAACGCUGGCGGCGUGCUUAACACAUGCAAGUCGAACGGAAAGGCCCUGCUUUUGUGGGGUGCUCGAGUGGCGAACGGGUGAGUAACACGUGAGUAACCUGCCCUUGACUUUGGGAUAACUUCAGGAAACUGGGGCUAAUACCGGAUAGGAGCUCCUGCUGCAUGGUGGGGGUUGGAAAGUUUCGGCGGUUGGGGAUGGACUCGCGGCUUAUCAGCUUGUUGGUGGGGUAGUGGCUUACCAAGGCUUUGACGGGUAGCCGGCCUGAGAGGGUGACCGGCGACAAUGGGACUGAGAUACGGCCCAGACGCCUACGGGAGGCAGAAGGGGGAAAUAUUGCACAAUGGGCGGAAGCCUGAUGCAGCAACGCCGCGUGCGGGAUGACGGCCUUCGGGUUGUAAACCGCUUUCGCCUGUGACGAAGCGUGAGUGACGGUAAUGAGUAAAGAAGCACCGGCUAACUACGUG
This 468-nucleotide ribosomal RNA is filed under the name uncultured bacterium. Its description in RNAcentral is "partial 16S ribosomal RNA". It matches the Rfam family "Bacterial small subunit ribosomal RNA", at positions 28 to 507 of the family's 1533-position model. The record is from RNAcentral.